CACUACUGCAGUUCCACUGGGCUACAGGCCCCUACGGGCCCCUGUAGUGAUGGUUACUGGUGCCCGGCUGGUCAGGAGGCGGACCGCUUGCUGCAGUGUCCGGUCCAUCAUUACUGUCCCCUGGGCAGCCCUGCCCCACUUCUCUGCCCCUCAGGCUUUUUCCAGGACAGGGAGAAGCAGGCCAACUGCUCACUCUGUGAAGCAGGUCAUUACUGUGACCCCAGACUGGCUUCCAGAGGCCUCUCCAUCCUGCAGCGCUGUCCAAGAGGACACUACUGUCCCCCAGGGACACACCUGUCCACCCAGUUCCCCUGCCCAGCGGGCACCUACAACCCCACAGAGGGCAUGGACAGCUCAGAGGCCUGCCUUCCCUGCCCUUCCGGACAGUACUGCCCCUCCAUGGGCCUCUCUGAACCUGAUGGUGGCUGCCAGGCUGGGUUCUGGUGCAGAAGAGGUUCUAGGUCCAGCACCCCAUUAAACGGAACCUCGGGUUCCACAUGCCCCGCUGGACACUACUGCCCUGCAGGUGUGUCCUUACCUGUGCCCUGUCCACCUGGCACCUGGGCGGGCAGGACCGGCCUGGGGGACGCGGGGGAGUGCCAGCCCUGUCCGGGGGGAUCGUACUGUGCCACCCCUGGACUCACAACACCCACAGGCCUCUGCACAGGAGGGUUUUACUGUGUGGAGGGGGCAGUGACACCCAACCCCUAUGAUGGCACCACGGGUGCCCCCUGCCCAGAGGCUCAUUACUGUCCUGUAGGAACCUCUCAGCCUGUGCCGUGUGAGCCAGGGACCUAUAUGAGUGCGACACAGGCCCCAGAGUGCUCUGUGUGCCCUGCAGGCUGGUACUGCACUUCUGGCGUUCGGCUGCUCUGUCCAGCAGGGUUCUACUGCCCUGAGGGCACAGGGGACACAUGGCGCUCCUGCCCCGUGGGCACGUACGGCCCUGCUGGUGGCCUGGGCAGGGUGUCGGAGUGUCGCGAGUGUGAUGGAGGACACUACUGCAGCAUGCCCAACACCACCUCUGUCACAGGGCCGUGCUCUGAGGGGUACUUCUGCCUGCCCGGCAGCACCACCCCACGGCCCCUAACCACAGAGGAAGGAGGUCCGUGUCCAGUGGGCCAUUUCUGCCCAGAAGGGACAUCGCAUCCACAUGCAUGUCCUGAAGGCACCUACAGCAACAUCUCUAAAUUAAUCUCCCAGGUGAGCUGCAGGCCGUGUGCUCCUGGACACUACUGCAGUGCUGCUGGUAUGAGCACGCCCACUGGGGAAUGCUGGGAAGGCUACUACUGCCAGCAGGGGGCAGUAUAUCCAAACCCACACAUCAGGGACGAGCGGGGAGGGCCCUGUCCGUCAGGAUAUUUCUGCCCCAAAGCCUCCGUUGGGCCUCUGAUCUGCCUGGCUGGCUACCUCAGCACAGAGGAGGGACGAGCCAACUGCAGCCUCUGCCCUCAGGGUUACUACUGCCCUGGCAGCAGCUCCACUAAUCAAAGCAGAGCGUGUCCUGUUGGGCACUACUGCCCCGCGGGCACCAGCAGUCAGUACCAGCACCCGUGCCCAGAUGGCACUCUGAACCAGCAGGAGAGAAUGGGCUCGCCCCACGACUGUACACCAUGCCCUCCAGGUUCCUUCUGUGCCUCGUCAGGCCUGAGUGAGGUCUCGGGGCCGUGCUCUGCUGGUCACUUCUGCUCUUUGGGGGCCGUGUCCCCCCGGCCAGAGGACGGAGUGACGGGGGACAGGUGUCCUCGGGGACACUACUGUCCCCCGGGGGCCUCCGUGCCACUGCCCUGUCCGGCUGGUCGCCACAGCAACACCACCGGCAACGCCUACCUCUCUGACUGCAAGCCCUGCCCAGCAGGUUUCUCCUGCUCCAGUAGGGGGCUCUAUCUCCCCUCCGAAGUCUGCCCUGCUGGAUUCUUCUGCCCUGACGGGGAGGGCUCCAACCACCCCACUCCACAAACCUGCCCCCCGGGGUUCAUCUGCCCCCAAGGAAGUCCUGCCCCCACCCCCUGUCCAGCGGGGACCUAUCAGGAGCAGUCUGGCCAGACGCGGUGUGCCCCCUGUCCUGCUGGCUUCUUCUGCGCCGCCUCACUGCACCCUGGCACAGGUGGCACAGAGGUAGUAGAAGGCUCCCACACACCCACCCCCUGCCCCGAGGGGCAUUACUGCCCAGUAGGCACCCAGUCUGGCCUGGACUUCCCCUGUCCUGUGGGCUCCUUCAGUGACCAGCGGGGCAUACGCAGCUCCAGCCAGUGCGCCCCCUGUCCAGCAGGCCGGUACUGCAGCUCUGCCGGACUGGCUGGCCCAUCAGGACACUGCUCUCCUGGGUAUGUGUGUCUCCAGGGCUCUGUGCAGCCUCAGCCCACGGGCGAGCUGACCGGCAGCCGAUGCCCCGCAGGCUUCUACUGCCCCGCGGGCACCACCCACGCCCUGCCCUGCCCGCCCGGCACCUGCAGCUCAUUAGAAGGAGCGGUGUCAGUAGACGCCUGUCAGCUGUGUCCUGCGGGUCUCUUCUGCUCUGACUUCGGUCUGACGGCCCCAUCAGGGCCCUGCAGCGCUGGGUACUUCUGCUCACGAGGAGCCACCACUCCCACGCCUCACGACACAGAGACUGACAGUGAGAUGUGUGGGGGGGCCGUGGAGGUGGACACACGCUCGUCUGUCCCGCCCAGAGCAGGAGUGUGUCCCAGAGCAGGAGUGUGUCCCAGGGGACACUUCUGCCCCAGGGGUACAGCUGAGCCCCAGCCCUGUCCGCCAGGUAACCCUAGAGCUGUCCUCUCUUCCAGGUAACUCCGGUAUCUCUCACCUAGCUUUGCUCCUUGAGUAGUGUGGGAGCCAGCCUGUCUGUCACAGGAAGCAGAAGAUCUGUCUGUCUGUCUGUCUGUCUGUCUGUCUGUCUGAUCUGAUCUGUGUCUGUCUGUCUGUCUGUCUUUCUGUCUGUC
Long non-coding RNA from Clupea harengus (Atlantic herring), 2942 nucleotides. The record is from Ensembl. Lineage: Eukaryota; Metazoa; Chordata; Actinopteri; Clupeiformes; Clupeidae.